Molecule: long non-coding RNA, 1773 nt
Organism: Vidua macroura (Pin-tailed whydah)
Lineage: Eukaryota; Metazoa; Chordata; Aves; Passeriformes; Viduidae
Exons: 2
Source: RefSeq, a predicted model, not a curated record
GUCUCCAGAGGAGCUGUCAAGGCUCUUCAGUGCUUCCUUGGGAACAGUUCCCGAUCCAGCCCCAGAUCGGGAUCCACCCUGUGAUUUACACCCCCAUUCUUUCCACUGCUGAUGUAUCUCUUCGAUUCUUGGUUCUAGGAAAGCUUCUGCAUCACCAGAGGUGGGGGACACUGGCAGAGGGCACAUUUCCUCCCUGGUGUCACAUCCAAAGUGACACCGUGGUGGGGAGGGUUGGUGAGCUCCACGUGAACUGAGGGAGCACCAGUGUGCUGAGGAGCGGCUGAGGGAGCUGGGAAGGGGCUGGAGAAUUCCUGAGGGAGCUGGGAAGGGGCUGGAGAAUUCCUGAGGGAGCUGGGAAGGGGCUGGAGAAUUCCUGAGGGAGCUGGGAAGGGGUUGGAGAGUUCCUGAGGGAGCUGGGAAGGGGCUGGAGAGUUCCUGAGGGAGCUGGGAAGGGGCUCAGCCUGGAGCAAAGGAGGCUCAGGGGGGACCUUGUGGCUCUGCACAGCUCCUGCCAGGAGGGGACAGCCGGGGGGUCGGGCUGGGAACAGGGAACAGGGACAGGAGGAGAGGGAACGGCCUCAGGGGAGCCUCGGGGUGGGCACUGGGGAAAUUCCUCAUGGGAAGGGCAGGGGUGGAGUCCCCAUCCCCAGAGGGAUUUCAAAGCCCUGUGGAUGUGGCAUUUGGGGACACAGUGAGUGGUGGCAGGGCUGGGGAAUGCUUGGACUCCGUGUUCCUAAAGGUCUUUUCCAACCUUAAUGACUCUGAGCUUUCACCAGGCUCUCCUUGCUCCGCCUGUGUCGUUCCAGUCCUGGAGCCUCAUUCCGGGGAGUUCUUUUAUCCCCUUUCAUUCCAUUAAGUGACAGUGGAGCUGUCCCUGCCCUUGGCAGGCAGGUUGGAGCCAGAUGAUCGUUGGGGUCCCUUCCAAGCCCUCCCAUUCCACGACUGCACGUUAUUGAAACCAGCAGCGUUCCACCUGCACAAGCAGCGCUGAGGGAGGCCCGGGCGUGCUCACACGACUGGAGAGUUUGAUUUCUGUCUCCGAAGGUGAAACAACACAAGCAAAGGCAGGCGGUGUCACAAUCACACCUCGGCGGUGUCACAGUCCGGGAUUCCUGCUCUCCAUCCCGCUGUGGCAUUCCCGUGCAAGGACAGCACCUGAUAAGGUGUGGUGGGAACGGGACAUUGCGGCGCUGUUUUCCCCAAAAAACUGAUAACAGGAACAACCAGCUGCAGCCAGGAGACCUUGGCACCCAGGGGCGUUCCUGCAGGACAUCCUGCCGCUGUUUUUGGAGGAAGAUCCGCCGUGUCCUUGGCUCCCGCAGCUCACGGGGAUGCACCGCAGCCGCCAGGAGCCAGCUGAAGGGCGGAGCGGUGUCUGCAGGAAGGAGCUUCCCUCUGCCGGGGAAGAGGUGUGCUCAUGUCCUGGCAAACAAUUCCGGGGGGACACCAUGGCUGGGAGCGGCUUUGAGAUGGGGCUUAAUGUCUCUAGCGACCUUGGGCAGCAGAGCCCGGACAUGCUGGCUCCUGAAACAGACGGGGCUGCGCGAGCGGGAGUUUCCGAACUUUGGGGUAAAAUGCCAGGUUCGAGGGGGGAUAGGGAGCAGGCGGCUGGGGAAGGCUGCACCUUCCUCAGCAACGGGGAAAGGAAGAGUUUGGGAUAAAAGGGAGCCCGUGCCCCCCGAAACCUCGAGAGAGAAAACCCCGCGGGCUGUGCCGGGUGACCUCUCCCUUUAUCCGAAUAAAGCUGCGGGACUCCUCUGUCUCCUUUAUGGA